GAUGAACGCUGGCGGCGUGCCUAAUACAUGCAAGUCGAGCGAACGGACGAUAAGCUUGCUUUUCUGAUGUUAGCGGCGGACGGGUGAGUAACACGUGGAUAACCUACCUAUAAGACUGGGAUAACUUCGGGAAACCGGAGCUAAUACCGGAUAAUAUUUUGAACCACAUGGUUCAAAAGUGAAAGACGGUCUUGCUGUCACUUAUAGAUGGAUCCGCGCUGCAUUAGCUAGUUGGUAAGGUAACGGCUUACCAAGGCAACGAUGCAUAGCCGACCUGAGAGGGUGAUCGGCCACACUGGAACUGAGACACGGUCCAGACUCCUACGGGAGGCAGCAGUAGGGAAUCUUCCGCAAUGGGCGAAAGCCUGACGGAGCAACGCCGCGUGAGUGAUGAAGGUCUUCGGAUCGUAAAACUCUGUUAUUAGGGAAGAACAUAUGUGUAAGUAACUGUGCACAUCUUGACGGUACCUAAUCAGAAAGCCACGGCUAACUACGUG
This 497-nucleotide ribosomal RNA is filed under the name uncultured bacterium. Its description in RNAcentral is "partial 16S ribosomal RNA". It matches the Rfam family "Bacterial small subunit ribosomal RNA", at positions 28 to 507 of the family's 1533-position model. The record is from RNAcentral.